Molecule: long non-coding RNA, 1052 nt
Organism: Camelus dromedarius (Arabian camel)
Lineage: Eukaryota; Metazoa; Chordata; Mammalia; Artiodactyla; Camelidae
Exons: 3
Source: RefSeq, a predicted model, not a curated record
AUUUCCAGUCCCUGGUGGCAGUGGCCAGGAGGUGUUGGUGGCCUCCUCAAUAAUGCCACUCCACCGCUCUCCUUCCCACUGUGGGGCGGGGUGUCGGUCACGGGAUCCCUCUCCUGGGCUCAGAAAGUCAAUGCCUCUGAUCGUUGGGGACCUUGUGUCAUUACCUUGUUCCUGGGACCUCUGCCAGUUGCCACUCUGAGGAAUUACACUUGUGCUGUGCGGUCUGACUCCCCAGGCAGGUGGAGUUAAGCAGAGAAAAUGCCUCUAGGCACCUCCCUGCUGUUUCCCCAAAGGCUCUGAGGACUUGCUUGCUUCACAGACACAGUGGCCCCAGAAUCUUUGACCUACAUCUCCUGGAAUCUUCAACCAACCAGGGUUGGAGGACAUCAUCCUCUGCUGCUAUGGACAAGAAGACCAUGUGUGGACAAGACGUCUAAGCAUGCUGUGGCCUUGGGUGCCAUCUUCCAGAAUCCGUGGCCACCAAGGGAGAAGCAUUCAACCUGCUUGGCCCCCUUUGCUCAGAGUCCUUCUCCUCUGCCAUCUUACCCCCCACCACUCCUGGGAGUUGUCCAGCCCUACGGCCUGGUUGGCUCAUGUUUUGACCUCAUGUCAUCACAAUUCCCAAGGGCCCUGUGUCUUCACCCUGAUGCUCCUGCCACACUGACUUUUAUGACUUAAUACCAAGCCCAGAGCUCCUCUGAUGCCCUGCUCCUUAGAUGGAACCGCCUGGAAUUCUGAGGAAGGUUACAAGAUUACACUGGAGCUUGGCCCCACUACUGGGAUCUUGGAUGCUAUGAAUUGCCCAUUUUCCCUUUGCCAAUCUUUUAACUGGGCUGUUUGUCUUUUUAUUUUUGAGUUGUAAGAGUUUUUACACAUUCAGGAUACAAGUCCCUUAUCAGAAACAUAAUUUACAAAUAUUUUCUCCCAUCCUGUGGGCUGUCUUUGGAUGCUUCUUAAUCACCUUUAUCCCCACAGUCUCUAGCACAGUAGAUCAUUCAAUAAACAUCUAUUGAAUUCAACUGAAUUACUCUUAGGUCUUUUAGGCAAAGUCU